This 4607-nucleotide small RNA is filed under the name Pongo abelii (Sumatran orangutan). RNAcentral describes it as "retained intron". Lineage: Eukaryota; Metazoa; Chordata; Mammalia; Primates; Hominidae. The record is from RNAcentral.
GUUCCUCACGGCGUCCCCGCCUCCUCGGUGCGGGCAGGGAGUAUGAGCCUGAUGUGGGCAGAAUCCAGAUGAGCUGGCCAGUGCUGUGAAGGAGCUGCGAGCACCCCCGAGAGCUGUGAGAUGGCGCCAAAAACCAAGAAGAGAUGGAAAGUGACACUACCUGAGAAGCCUGUUAAACUAGCUUCACAUACCAGAGACACCACAGGUGUAUCUCAGAUGUUCCCUUCUUCAAAGGCUAGAACAAAGUCCCUCCUGGGUGAUGAUGUCUUCAGCACCAUGGCAGGCCUGGAAGAAGCUGAUGCUGAGGUUUCAGGUAUCUCAGAGGCAGACCCACAGGCUCUGCUCCAGGCCAUGAAGGACCUGGACGGCAUGGAUGCUGAUAUCUUAGGUCUGAAGAAAUCUAAUCCAGCCCCUAGCAAAAAAGCUGCAAAGGACCCUGGGAAAGGAGAGCUGCCCAGCCACCCCAAGCCUGCAGGGGUCGCCAUUCCCACCAAGAAGUCACCUCUGUCUCCCAGCAGCUCUGGGCAUCAGAACAGGAGGUUUUCCUCUGAAGACUUGGAAGACCCGUUCGGAGGACUUCUCUCCUAUGAUGAAGAAGGAAUCACCAAGAAGCCGCCUGUGACAGAGAGUAAAACAGCUUCUGACAAGAGCCCCAGCACAGUCAGAGAUCAAGGUCCCUCUAUUCCUCUAACUCCUGGGGACACCCCCAUCCGAAAAAAAGAAGAAUUGUUGUUUGACGAUGGGGAUGACAUCAUGGCCACCUUGGGGUUUGGAGACAGCCCCAAAGCAGAGAAGAGGCAGAUAGGAGACCAGGAAGGGCCUCGCCCUGCUCGCUCCACGCUGGAUGAGCUGCUGGGUCGAGGCACGGCCACCAAACUCCUGGCCCGCCCGGGCACCGGGGAGCACAGGGAGUUCAAGCUAGACAAGAAGUACCAGAGGCCACAGGACAGUGAAGAUGCGUGGGGUGACGAGGACUUCACCUUUGGAGCCUAUCAGCCCACCGUGGUCUCCUCUGAGGGCCGGCAGUCCCGCCGGCAGUCUGUCAGUAGGUUCUUAGCAGACCGUGGCCCAGACCCCAAGGGAGAACCAGGCUCCAAACAGAGCCCUCCAACGGCUUCCAGCCCCAUCCAGCCCAGGAAGGGAGGAGCUGACUGGUUGGGCCUCAAGGAUGAGGACUUGGACCUGCUCCCUGCCUCACCCACCAGAGAGGCCCGUCGGGAAAGCUCAGUGCCUGUCACGCCCUCAGUGCCUCCUCCUGCAAGCCAGCACUCCACGCCAGCUGGGCUGCCCCCCUCCAGGGCAAAGCCACCAACUGAAGGUGCAGGGUCCCCUGCCAAAGCCAGCCAGGCUUCCAAGCUGCGAGCCUCCAAGGAGGAGAAAGAGGAGGACUGGCUGAGCCAUGCCCUAUCUCGGAAGAAGUCCCAAGGCCUGGCCAGGGAGCAGCAUGCUGGGACCUCUGAGGGCCUGAGUUUGGCGGGGACAGCGGGCCAUCCCCCUUCUGGCAGCCAACCUCUCACCAGCACACAAGGGCUUGAGCACGCAGCUGCUGGAGGGAGCUCUGGAACAACUGCACGAGAAAGACCGUGUGUCAGGCCUGGCAUCUCAGGGUCCCCUGUGACUCGGAACCAUGCCGCCUCAGCACUCCCUACAGGUUCCCCAAAGAGAGGAACAGCCCCUGGAGACCUCUCGGCCACUGAGUCUGCCACAUGUUUCCCGAGCACCCAGGAACCCACAGAGCCUUCCAUCCCCGUCCAGCCCCUGCUCCCAGAGUCCCUGGCCCAGAGCCUGCUGCCGGGCACAGAAUACCAGAAGCAGCUCCUGGCAGCACAGGUGCAGCUUCAGAGCGGCCCCGCCGAGCUCCAGGCCGAGCUGCUGCAGAGCCAGGCCCGGCUGGCAGAGCUGGAGGCCCAGGUGAGGGGCAGCGGGGCCGUUGGCGCUGUGGGCAGGGUUGUGACGGGAGGGGACACUGAGAGUGGCUGGAAGCUUCCCCAGGAGGAAGGAGGGGCUGUUGGCACAGGGCAGCGUGGAGUACAGCCACCUCCCCUCCCUGGUCGCUGGCCCUCCUGCCGUCUCCCAGGUGCGGAAGCUGGAGCUAGAACGGGCCCAGCAUGAGCUGCUGCUGGGGAGUCUGCAGCAGCAGCACCAGGCAGACCUGGAGUUCAUCGAGAGUGCACACAGAAGCCGCAUCAAGGUGCUAGAAACAUCGUACCAGCAACGGGAGGAGCGGCUCCAGAGAGAGAACGAGGAGCUGUCAGCUCGGUAUCUGUCGCACUGCCAGGAGGCCGAACAGGCCCGUGCUGAGCUUACAGCCCAGCACCAGCGGCGCUUGGCGGCCAUGGCACAGGAGAAGGACCAGGAAAUGGAGCGGCUCCGGGAGCUGCAGCGGGCGUCCAUCCUAGACAUGCGCAGAGACCAUGAGGAGCAGCUGCAGCGGCUAAAGCUGCUGAAGGACCGAGAGGUCGAUGCGGCCACCAGUGCCACCUCCCACACGCGGUCCCUGAAUGGCAUCAUCCACCAGAUGGAGAAGUUCUCCAGCAGCCUGCACGAGCUGUCCUCCCGCGUGGAGGCCUCGCACCUCACCACCUCCCAGGAGCGGGAGCUGGGGAUCCGGCAGCGUGACGAGCAGCUGCGGGGUACGCCCUCCCCUCUCAGCCACCCGGGCUUCUGGUGGGAAGGGGAGCAGCUGCUGAGCACCCUGUGGGUUGCCCCCAGCACUGCAGGAGCGGCUGGGCCAACAGCAGCGGGACAUGGAGGAGGAGCGGAGCCGGCAACAGGAGGUCAUCGGGAAGAUGGAGGCGCGGCUAAAUGAGCAGAGCCGGCUGCUGGAGCAGGAACGCUGGCGGGUGACUGCCGAGCAGUCUAAGGCGGAGUCCAUGCAGCGCGCCCUAGAGGAGCAAAGGAAGGUCACCGCCCAGCAGAUGGCCAUGGAAAGGGCGGAGCUGGAGCGGGCCAAGAGCGCCUUGCUGGAGGAGCAGAAGUCUGUCAUGCUCAAGUGCGGGGAGGAGCGGCGGCGCCUGGCUGCCGAGUGGGCGGAGUUCUCCGCGCAGCAAAAGCUGAGCUGAGCUGAAGAUCAGGGCCAGCGAGCUCCGGGCCGAGGAGAAGCAGCUGGCAGCGGAGAGAGCAGCCCUGGAGCAGGAGCGGCAGGAGCUGCGGCUGGAGAAGGAGAGGAUCAACGCCACCGCCCUGCGUGUCAAGCUCCGCGCUGAGGAGGUGGAGAGCAUGAGCAAGGUGCUGCUCGGGCACAUGGGCAUGGGCGCAGCUGAGCCCAGGCAGCCCUGACCCAGGCGGCCUCCCUGCAGGUGGCCUCCAAGAAGUACGAGGAGGGGGAGCGGGCAUUGUGCGAGGCCCGGCAGGUGCAGGCAGAGCAGCAGGCCCGGUUGCAGGCGGUGCAGCAACAGCAGGAGCGGCUGCGGAAGCAGGAGCAGCACAUGCACCAGGAGCAUCUGAGUCUGGCCCAGCAGAGGCUGCAACUGGACCGCGCACGACAGGACCUGCCCUCCAGCCUCGUGGGUCUGUUCCCCAGGGCCCAGGGCCCUGCAGCCUCCAGCCAGAAUGCCCUCAUGCCUCCUGCUCCCACCACUCGUUGGUGCAGCCAGCCACCGACUGGCCUGGACCCCAGCCCCUUGCACCUCCAUGCCAGGCUGGUGCUGCUGAGGCACAUGGCAGAGCAGGACCGUGACUUCUUGGAGAAUGAACAGUUCUUCCUGGAGACCCUGAAGAAAGGGUCCUACAAUUUGACAUCUCAUUCAGCCUGAGUGGGACCCCAGCCAAUUCCCCAACAGAGGGUUUGGACCCCAGAACUCUCCUGUUCCUCCGGCUGCCUCCAUGGAGGCAGUGCCUGGGGAGGAUUCUGAGAUGCUUCAGGCCUGAUGACAGCUCUUCCAUGGACAGGGUGCAAGUGCAUCCUUUCCAAAUGUGCCAGCCCGGGGCAGCCCCUGCCUCUGGGGCUCUGUGGUGUAGGCUGUCUUACCACGGCUUCGGCUGCCCUGCCUCAAAGCCAUUGGCUUGGAUCUGAGGGUCUGAGUUGGCAGCAAGGACCCCCAGCUGUCACUGGGCUCUGUGGGCUCCCCCUACUCCACAGGUAGACUGUUGUGGGCUCUUUUUGCCUGGGCCUCUUCUGAGGCAGGAGCUUUCUUGAGGGAUGCCACAAACAGCCUUCCCUACUCCCUGCCAGAGCAGUUCCCUCCCUGAUGAGCUGGAGAAGGGCCCUCUGGCCUCCUGAUAGUACAGGGAGGGCACCAGCUAGAUCCUCCCUUGUGGUGUGAGAUGUUCCUGGAAUUCAGCCAGGCCCUCCUCCUCCUGGGCUUGCCCAGAGCCCCCACCCUAUUCCCAGCAUUGCCCGAAGGACCAACCAGUUUGGGUGAACAGUGGCCUCCUCAGCUUCUUCCCCAUUUGGAUGCCCCACUGGCAGCGGAGGGAACUGUGGUGUGGGGAGGGACGAGGAGGGAAUGCGCCUCUGUGCUGCUCACCUGCCCAAAGCCACAGCUCAGUGGGUGUGCAGUGGAGGUGACAAGGAAUCAAUCACAACUAGCAGAGAUUUCUUUGAUCCUCCUCCACUCCCGCUGCUUCACUUGACUAAGCUUAAAAAAACUGCUUUUGCCAUGGCU